RNAcentral lists this ribosomal RNA (429 nucleotides) under Bacteroidota bacterium. Its description in RNAcentral is "Bacteroidetes bacterium partial 16S ribosomal RNA". It matches the Rfam family "Bacterial small subunit ribosomal RNA", at positions 355 to 776 of the family's 1533-position model. Lineage: Bacteria; Pseudomonadati; Bacteroidota. The record is from RNAcentral.
UAGGGAAUCUUCCGCAAUGGACGCAAGUCUGACGGAGCAACGCCGCGUGAGUGAAGAAGGAUUUCGGUUCGUAAAACUCUGUUGUUAGAGAAGAACAGCGCAUAGAGUAACUGUUAUGCGUGUGACGGUAUCUAACCAGAAAGCCACGGCUAACUACGUGCCAGCAGCCGCGGUAAUACGUAGGUGGCAAGCGUUGUCCGGAUUUAUUGGGCGUAAAGCGAGCGCAGGCGGUCAAUUAAGUCUGAUGUGAAAGCCCCCGGCUCAACCGGGGAGGGUCAUUGGAAACUGGUUGACUUGAGUGCAGAAGAGGGGAGUGGAAUUCCAUGUGUAGCGGUGAAAUGCGUAGAUAUAUGGAGGAACACCAGUGGCGAAGGCGACUCUCUGGUCUGUAACUGACGCUGAGGCUCGAAAGCGUUGGUAGCAAACAGG